ACUCAAUAGAUACCCUGGUAGUCCUGGCCGUAAACGAUGACCACUCACUAUGGGAGGGAUCGACCCCUUCCGUAGUGGAGCUAAACGCAGUAAGUGGUCCGCCUGAGGAGUACGGUCGCAAGACUAAAACUCAAAGGAAUUGACGGGGACCCGCACAAGCAGCGGAGCGUGUGGUUUAAUUCGAAGCAACGCGAAGCACCUUACCAGGGCUUGACAUGCCGUCGCACCGCCCAGAGAUGGGCGUGCCCGCAAAGGACGGCGGCACAGGUGCUGCAUGGCUGUCGUCAGCUCGUGUCGUGAGAUGUUGGGUUAAGUCCCGU
RNAcentral lists this ribosomal RNA (320 nucleotides) under uncultured bacterium. RNAcentral describes it as "bacterial SSU rRNA". It matches the Rfam family "Bacterial small subunit ribosomal RNA", at positions 770 to 1090 of the family's 1533-position model. The record is from RNAcentral.